RNAcentral lists this ribosomal RNA (936 nucleotides) under Staphylococcus sp. RNAcentral describes it as "bacterial SSU rRNA". It matches the Rfam family "Bacterial small subunit ribosomal RNA", at positions 100 to 1023 of the family's 1533-position model. The record is from RNAcentral. Lineage: Bacteria; Bacillati; Bacillota; Bacilli; Caryophanales; Staphylococcaceae.
GACGGGUGAGUAACACGUGGAUAACCUACCUAUAAGACUGGGAUAACUUCGGGAAACCGGAGCUAAUACCGGAUAACAUAUUGAACCGCAGGGUUCAAUAGUGAAAGGCGGCUUUGCUGUCACUUAUAGAUGGAUCCGCGCCGUAUUAGCUAGUUGGUAAGGUAACGGCUUACCAAGGCAACGAUACGUAGCCGACCUGAGAGGGUGAUCGGCCACACUGGAACUGAGACACGGUCCAGACUCCUACGGGAGGCAGCAGUAGGGAAUCUUCCGCAAUGGGCGAAAGCCUGACGGAGCAACGCCGCGUGAGUGAUGAAGGUCUUCGGAUCGUAAAACUCUGUUAUCAGGGAAGAACAAAUGUGUAAGUAACUGUGCACAUCUUGACGGUACCUGAUCAGAAAGCCACGGCUAACUACGUGCCAGCAGCCGCGGUAAUACGUAGGUGGCAAGCGUUAUCCGGAAUUAUUGGGCGUAAAGCGCGCGUAGGCGGUUUUUUAAGUCUGAUGUGAAAGCCCACGGCUCAACCGUGGAGGGUCAUUGGAAACUGGAAAACUUGAGUGCAGAAGAAGAAAGUGGAAUUCCAUGUGUAGCGGUGAAAUGCGCAGAGAUAUGGAGGAACACCAGUGGCGAAAGCGACUUUCUGGUCUGUAACUGACGCUGAUGUGCGAAAGCGUGGGGAUCAAACAGGAUUAGAUACCCUGGUAGUCCACGCCGUAAACGAUGAGUGCUAAGUGUUAGGGGGUUUCCGCCCCUUAGUGCUGCAGCUAACGCAUUAAGCACUCCGCCUGGGGAGUACGACCGCAAGGUUGAAACUCAAAGGAAUUGACGGGGACCCGCACAAGCGGUGGAGCAUGUGGUUUAAUUCGAAGCAACGCGAAGAACCUUACCAAAUCUUGACAUCCUUUGACCGCUCUAGAGAUAGAGUCUUCCCCUUCG